UGUGACUGCGUACCUUUUGUAUAAUGGGUCAGCGACUUAUAUUCAGUGGCAAGGUUAACCAUCUAGGGGAGCCGUAGGGAAACCGAGUCUUAACUGGGCGUUCAGUCUCUGGAUAUAGACCCGAAACCAGGUGAUCUAGCCAUGGGCAGGUUGAAGGUUGAGUAACAUCAACUGGAGGACCGAACCGACUAAUGUUGAAAAAUUAGCGGAUGACUUGUGGCUAGGGG
RNAcentral lists this ribosomal RNA (227 nucleotides) under Vibrio parahaemolyticus. RNAcentral describes it as "partial 23S ribosomal RNA". It matches the Rfam family "Bacterial large subunit ribosomal RNA", at positions 592 to 821 of the family's 2925-position model. The record is from RNAcentral. Lineage: Bacteria; Pseudomonadati; Pseudomonadota; Gammaproteobacteria; Vibrionales; Vibrionaceae.